Molecule: ribosomal RNA, 407 nt
Filed under: Verrucomicrobiota bacterium
Lineage: Bacteria; Pseudomonadati; Verrucomicrobiota
Description: Verrucomicrobia bacterium partial 16S ribosomal RNA
Rfam family: Bacterial small subunit ribosomal RNA
Source: RNAcentral
UGGGGAAUAUUGGACAAUGGAGGAAACUCUGAUCCAGCAAUUCUGUGUGUGUGAAGAAGGCUUUAGGACUGUAAAACACUUUUAGUAGGGAAGAAAAAAAUGACGGUACCUACAGAAGAAGCAACGGCUAAAUACGUGCCAGCAGCCGCGGUAAUACGUAUGUUGCGAGCGUUAUCCGGAAUUAUUGGGCUUAAAGGGCAUCUAGGCGGUAAGACAAGUUGAAGGUGAAAACCUGUGGCUCAACCAUAGGCUUGCCUACAAAACUGUUGAACUAAAGUACUGGAAAGGUGAGUUGAACUACACGGGUAGAGAUGAAAUUCGUAGAUAUGUGUAGGUAUGCCGAUGAUGAAAAUAACUCACUGAACAGAAACUGACGCUGAAUUGCGAAAGCUAGUGGAGCGAACAGG